CCACGCCUGGCGGUCGGACAGCGGCGGCGCCGGCUCGCCGCGGAAGGUGAUCUCCCCGCUGUCCGGCCGGUUCAGGCCGGUCAGCAUGGA
This 90-nucleotide transfer RNA is filed under the name Kutzneria sp. CA-103260. RNAcentral describes it as "tRNA-Arg". The record is from RNAcentral. Lineage: Bacteria; Bacillati; Actinomycetota; Actinomycetes; Pseudonocardiales; Pseudonocardiaceae.